Molecule: long non-coding RNA, 945 nt
Filed under: Sus scrofa (pig)
Lineage: Eukaryota; Metazoa; Chordata; Mammalia; Artiodactyla; Suidae
Description: lncRNA (ENSSSCG00040014518.1)
Source: RNAcentral
UGCCUCCUCGUUAUUCAAACCACUGCUCUCUCUCCCCACCCUAUUUGUGCAAAUCUUGCCAAUCCUUUAAGGCUCAAAUCAAAUCCCACUUCCUCAUUCAAGAUUUUCCUGAGUCUUCUAGCUUUGAAAUUCACCUUUCCUCCUCUGAUGCUGUUGUGUUCCGUUGCAAUUCAUAAUUUACUUCCUCUUCAUGUGGUCAUGUUUUAUCUUCCCAACUAGAAAGGCAACUUCUUAAAGGUGAAAGCCAACUCAGCAACGUCUCUUUAAGGAGAUAAUAUGAAGAGGCAUCAGCUUUUGUUCUGAUACCAUCAACAAUGAUCCAGAUGAAAAGGAAUGUGGUUCAACCUCCAUAUUUCUCAUAAAGAGAAAACUGAGGUCCAGAGAAGUGAAAUGGCUUAUCCAGAGGCAGUCAGGAGCCUUGUUUGCUGCAUGUGUGCCAGAACCUCGGAGCAGGAAACAUGCCAUCAGAAUGAAUGUGUCUGCCUGGCAAGGGCAGGGCAGAGCGGAAUCGAUUACAGAGAGGAAGGCGGGCAGUUGAAUGGGAUGCUGCCUAAAGAGAACCCAGCAGAUCCAUUCACUCUGCGAGCCAGUCUUGACCUUCUGCGCCUUAGGACCAUCUCCCUAGGACCACCAGCAUGAAGUUCAUGUGUCAAGAAGAAGUCGUCUGUGUUCUCCAAAAGCAACUUCAUGACCAGUUUUGAAAUAAUUCAAAACAUUUGCUCUCUUCAGAUCAGCUUCCUUCAAGCCAAUGUUUAUUUAAUUCAUAUGUCUGAAGUUUUCUGGCUCUUGAAAGUCAACAUUCUUGGUCUCCUCCCCUGUCCCAGCAUGUUUAAGUUGAGAUGGUGUUCUUUCUUGUUUCCUUAAGAGCUCUUGCCAAGUCACUGGGCAUGUCUCUCUUGUUCAUCUUCUGAAAAUCUUCAAUAAAUACAUGUCCUGAUUCUCCCA